GAUGAAGAACGCAGCGAAAUGCGAUAAGUAAUGUGAAUUGCAGAAUUCAGUGAAUCAUCGAAUCUUUGAACGCACAUUGCGCCCGCUAGUAUUCUGGCGGGCAUGCCUGUCCGAGCGUCAUCUCAACCCUCAAGCCCCCGGGCUUGGUGUUGGGGAUCGGCGAGCCUCCGCGCCCGCCGUCCCCUAAAUCUAGUGGCGGUCUCGCUGUAGCUUCCUCUGCGUAGUAGCACACCUCGCACUGGGAAACAGCGCGGCCACGCCGUUAAACCCCCAACUUCUGAACGUUUGACCUCGGAUCAGGUAGGAAUACCCGCUGAACUUAAGCAUAUCAAUAAGCGGAGGA
Molecule: unclassified non-coding RNA, 343 nt
Filed under: soil metagenome
Description: partial contains 5.8S ribosomal RNA, internal transcribed spacer 2, and large subunit ribosomal RNA
Rfam family: 5.8S ribosomal RNA (bases 1-120)
Source: RNAcentral